CAGCCGCCGCGGUAAUACAGAGGAUGCAAGCGUUAUCCGGAAUGAUUGGGCGUAAAGCGUCUGUAGGUGGCUUUUCAAGUCCGCCGUCAAAUCCCAGGGCUCAACCCUGGACAGGCGGUGGAAACUACCAAGCUGGAGUACGGUAGGGGCAGAGGGAAUUUCCAGUGGAGCGGUGAAAUGCGUUGAGAUCAGAAAGAACACCAACGGAGAAAGCACUCUGCUGGGCCGACACUGACACUGAGAGACGAAAUCUAGGGGAGCAAAUGGGAUUAGAUACCCCCGUAGUCCCUGUCUCUUAUAC
Molecule: ribosomal RNA, 301 nt
Filed under: uncultured bacterium
Lineage: Bacteria
Description: partial 16S ribosomal RNA
Rfam family: Bacterial small subunit ribosomal RNA
Source: RNAcentral